Molecule: long non-coding RNA, 203 nt
Filed under: Elaeis guineensis (African oil palm)
Lineage: Eukaryota; Viridiplantae; Streptophyta; Magnoliopsida; Arecales; Arecaceae
Description: long non-coding RNA (EGUI_LNC011551)
Source: RNAcentral
CUGACGUGUGAGUCGAUUGGUCCGCCCAUUGGGGCCUGACUCGUCCUCGCCCACGGCCCACAGCUAGAUGGCCGCACGGUUUUACGACAAGCAUCAUCAUGAACAGGGACCGCACGUAGACGGUGGCCCGGGCCCAGAUGGAGGAGGACCACCGCUUGGCCAGACCAACGCAUCGCAUCGCAUCGCAUCGCAAACAUGGGUGG